UCUCUGUUAGUAUAUCGGUUAGUACACGCGCUUGUCACUGUAUGCGUCCGCGCGAAAGCGGGGUUCGACUCCCCGACAGAGAG
This is a non-coding RNA of Lenzites betulinus, 83 nucleotides long. The record is from the annotation of a GenBank genome assembly. Lineage: Eukaryota; Fungi; Basidiomycota; Agaricomycetes; Polyporales; Polyporaceae.